RNAcentral lists this ribosomal RNA (525 nucleotides) under uncultured Synechococcus sp. RNAcentral's name for it is "bacterial SSU rRNA". It matches the Rfam family "Bacterial small subunit ribosomal RNA", at positions 64 to 636 of the family's 1533-position model. The record is from RNAcentral. Lineage: Bacteria; Bacillati; Cyanobacteriota; Cyanophyceae; Synechococcales; Synechococcaceae.
AAACGAACUUCGGGUUAGUGGCGGACGGGUGAGUAACGCGUGAGAAUCUGCCCUCAGGAGGGGGACAACAGUUGGAAACGACUGCUAAUACCCCAUAUGCCGCGAGGUGAAAUGAAUUUCGCCUGAGGAUGAGCUCGCGUCUGAUUAGCUAGUUGGUGUAGGUAAUGGCUCACCAAGGCAUCGAUCAGUAGCUGGUCUGAGAGGAUGAUCAGCCACACUGGGACUGAGACACGGCCCAGACUCCUACGGGAGGCAGCAGUGGGGAAUUUUCCGCAAUGGGCGAAAGCCUGACGGAGCAACGCCGCGUGAGGGAUGAAGGCCUCUGGGCUGUAAACCUCUUUUAUCAAGGAAGAAGAUCUGACGGUACUUGAUGAAUAAGCCACGGCUAAUUCCGUGCCAGCAGCCGCGGUAAUACGGGAGUGGCAAGCGUUAUCCGGAAUUAUUGGGCGUAAAGCGUCCGCAGGCGGCCCUUCAAGUCUGCUGUUAAAAAGUGGAGCUUAACUCCAUCAUGGCAGUGGAAACUGU